This 32-nucleotide ribosomal RNA is filed under the name uncultured Mycena. Its description in RNAcentral is "partial 18S ribosomal RNA". The record is from RNAcentral. Lineage: Eukaryota; Fungi; Basidiomycota; Agaricomycetes; Agaricales; Tricholomataceae.
GGUUCCGUAGGUGACCUGCGGAAGGAUCAUUA